AAGGAUCAUUCAUAAUAAGUGUUUUACUGCACUUUUUAAACAAGUACUCACCUUGUGUGCAAUGUUUGCUGUCGAGUCGUUCACGCGUCGCGACAGUACAAAUACCAACCCUUUAUUGUAAAUUUUUUGUCUGAAGCUAUUUCGAAUAUAUAAUUCUAAAUACAACUUUCAACAACGGAUCUCUUGGCUCUC
This 192-nucleotide unclassified non-coding RNA is filed under the name uncultured fungus. RNAcentral's name for it is "partial contains 5.8S ribosomal RNA, internal transcribed spacer 2, and large subunit ribosomal RNA". The record is from RNAcentral. Lineage: Eukaryota; Fungi.